Molecule: ribosomal RNA, 247 nt
Filed under: uncultured bacterium
Lineage: Bacteria
Description: partial 16S ribosomal RNA
Rfam family: Bacterial small subunit ribosomal RNA
Source: RNAcentral
UGCCGUGAGGCUGAGCGAAUCCCAAAAUAAACGUCUCAGUUCGGAUUGUAGUCUGCAACCCGACUACAUGAAGCUGGAAUCGCUAGUAAUCGCGGAUCAGAAUGCCGCGGUGAAUGCGUUCUCGGGCCUUGUACACACCGCCCGUCACACCAUGGGAGCCGGUAAUACCCGAAGUCAGUAGUCCAACCUCGUGAGGACGCUGCCGAAGGUAGGAUUGGCGACUGGGGUGAAGUCGUAACAAGGUAAC